Molecule: ribosomal RNA, 378 nt
Filed under: uncultured organism
Description: bacterial SSU rRNA
Rfam family: Bacterial small subunit ribosomal RNA
Source: RNAcentral
CGGGGGGAGCAAGCCGUUGUUCGGAUUUACUGGGCGUAAAGGGCGCGUAGGCGGCCACCGCAAGUCGACUGUGAAAUCUCCGGGCUUAACCCGGAAAGGUCAGCCGAUACUGCGGGGGCUAGACUGCAGAAGGGGCAACUGGAAUUCUCGGUGUAGCGGUGAAAUGCGUAGAUAUCGAGAGGAACACCUGCGGCGAAGGCGGGUUGCUGGGCUGACACUGACGCUGAGGCGCGAAAGCUAGGGGAGCGAACGGGAUUAGAUACCCCGGUAGUCCUAGCCUUAAAACGAUGAAAUGCUUGGUGUCUGGGGUUUUAUAGUCCCCGGGUGCCGUCGCUAACGCUUUAAGCAUUCCGCCUGGGGAGUACGGUCGCAAGACUG